UACGUAGGGUCCAAGCGUUGUCCGGAUUUAUUGGGCGUAAAGAGCUCGUAGGCGGCUUAGUAAGUCGGAUGUGAAAACUCGGGGCUCAACCCCGAGACGCCAUCCGAUACUGCUGUGGCUUGAGUCUGGUAGGGGAACACGGAAUUCCUGGUGUAGCGGUGAAAUGCGCAGAUAUCAGGAGGAACACCGAUGGCGAAGGCAGGUCUCUGGGCCACUACUGACGCUGAGAAGCGAAAGCAUGGGGAGCGAACAGG
This 254-nucleotide ribosomal RNA is filed under the name uncultured bacterium. RNAcentral's name for it is "partial 16S ribosomal RNA". It matches the Rfam family "Bacterial small subunit ribosomal RNA", at positions 524 to 776 of the family's 1533-position model. The record is from RNAcentral.